Phascolarctos cinereus (koala) is the source of this 269-nucleotide non-coding RNA. The record is from RefSeq and is a predicted model, not a curated record. Lineage: Eukaryota; Metazoa; Chordata; Mammalia; Diprotodontia; Phascolarctidae.
CUAUCACAUAUGUAUCUCAUGUAUUUCAUGGUGUAACUUUCCCUGGAGAGAGAAAUUCAAUGCCAUUUCUCAGCUGUCUUCAAAUCUUGGAACUUCCCUCAAGGCUCCUCACCUAGGAAUACACCUCUGCUGUUCCAGCCUCCUCUCAUUGAGCCAAUGACUAUUUCAUGACAUGAAGAGAGGAAGUGAAUGGAAAGCCAAGCAAGUCACAGCCACUAAAUCAGAACAACUGAAUUUAUUGAAAAUGAAGUUUUGAGGAGGAAAAAAAC